AAGGCAAUGGGUACUGAGCAAGGCAAUGGGAAGGGGGCUAGUGGGUUGGGAAUGUGGUGUCUUGAGACACACACUGAGAUGUACUUUCAAAUGAAGUCUGGAACUGCAGAUAUAUUUAGCGAGUUGAGACUGGCAAGGGCAGGACGUCAUAGAGAAAAUACAUGGAAUAAAAUGAGAAAAAGAGAAGUGGGGAAAGUGAUAGGGCAGAAAACUCUAAGAAAUUUCUGACAUGCAAGGAAAAGAAAUUUCUGACACAGAGAAAAUACAUGGAAUAAAAUGAGAAAAAGAGAAGUGGGGAAAGUGAUAGGGCAGAAAACUCUAAGAAAUUUCUGACAUACAUGGAAUAAAAUGAGAAAAAGAGAAGUGGGGAAAGUGAUAGGGCAGAAAACUCUAAGAAAUUUCUGACAUGCAAGGAAAAGAUGAAACAAAAAGAGGUCAAAUAUGUAAGAGCAGAAAGCUGUCCUUUAAGUUCUGAGAACUAAGAGGAGUGGAGUGACCUAAAAAGCGAGUGGUGGGAGCAAAAGUAAGCUGCAGGGACCCAGGAGGAGCAACAGGAGGUGAGGAAGCAGAGAUAUCAACUCCUCCAAGCUGUUCUACCAUAAACAGAAAGAAAGAUACGGGAUUGCAAGAGUGAUGGGCAGAUAAGAUGCAGAGAGUGGGUUCUUUUUUUCUUCCUUUUGUUUUGGAACAGAGGUGGAGGUGGCAGCCUUCCUUUUUCUCAUCAAAAGAAUUGUUAAACAGAGGUUCCCAGAAAGUCUGUGCACAGUGGAGAUGCCGAAUACCAUAAAGUACUGAAAGAAGAAGCAUCAGAUAGUAGAGAGAACAAAGUUGGAACGACCUGGCUUCAAAUCCUGAGUGGCUCCUUUGCUAGCCGUGUGACUGAGCACAUUACUCAGCCUUUGCAAGAGUCAGUUUCCCUGUGGAUAUCCUCAGAACAAAAUAUUCCUCCCAAGUUUAUGGGAAGAUUAAAUAAAUUAAGGUUUUUCUAGAGGGGACUGACCAAGUGGAUCUACUCUCAUCUGAAGACCAUACUAGCCACCCACACUUACUUCAAG
RNAcentral lists this long non-coding RNA (1055 nucleotides) under Homo sapiens (human). Its description in RNAcentral is "HSALNT0299453". The record is from RNAcentral. Lineage: Eukaryota; Metazoa; Chordata; Mammalia; Primates; Hominidae.